AUGGCGCCGGGUGGUCUCUUGGGCACGGCGGCCGUGGCCGUGCUCUUGUCGCUGGCGGUACACGUCGCGCUCCACUGCCCCAUCCAGCCGCUCCCGUCGCCGCCGCCGCCCGCGCGGCACCCUCCCAAUAACCUCCUCCAGGGGCUGGAGAAGCUCGGGGAAGGGCGGCUGAGCGGGCCGGAGGACGUAUACGUCGACGCGGCGGCGGGCGGGACGCUGUACACGGCGACGAGGGACGGGUGGCUGCAGAGGAUGCAGCCCAACGGGUCGUGGGAGCACUGGCGGUUCGUCGGCGGCACGGACCUGCUCGGCAUCGCGCCCUCCGCCGACGGCAGCAUGCUCGUCUGCGACGCUCACAAGGGAUUACUGAAAGUCGAGGACGGUCACGUGACCAUUCUCGCAUCCACGGUCGAAGGCUCCACGAUCAGGUUUGCCGACGCGGUGAUCGAGGCAUCCGACGGCACGGUCUACUUCAGCGACGGGAGCACCAGGUUCGGCUUCGGCGAGUGGUUCCUCGACUACCUCGAGGCCCGCCCCACCGGCCGGCUCCUCAGGUACGACCCCGGCACCGGCAAGGCCUCCGUCGCGCUCGACAACCUCGCCUUCGCCAACGGCGUCGCCCUGUCGCGGGACGAGGCCUUCGUCAUCGUCUGCGAGACAGCGGGGUUCAGAUGCACGAGGCUGUGGCUGAAAGGGGACAAGGCUGGACAGAAGCAGACCUUCGUCGACAACCUUCCGGGGUCUCCGGAUAACAUCCAUCUAGCACCAGACGGCUCCUUCUGGAUCGCCCUUCUCCAGCUAAGGUCGCCAUGGAUGGACCUGAUCACCCGCUGGACCUUGGCCAAGAGAGUCGUCGCGUCGAUCCCGGCGCUUCACGAACCCAUCAAGGCAACGGCGAAGGGAGCGAUGGUGGCCCAAGUGUCGGAGGACGGUGAGAUCAUCCGUGUGCUCGACGACUCCCAAGGGAAGGUGAUCCACUUCAUCACUUCCGUGACGGAGUUCGAUGGGCAUCUGUUCUUGGGAAGCCUUUCCACGAACUUCGUGGGGAAGCUGUCUCUGGCGAAGGUGCCACAUGUGCAUGCGGCAGUUUCAUCCUAG
This 1098-nucleotide ribosomal RNA is filed under the name Triticum aestivum (bread wheat). RNAcentral's name for it is "partial small subunit ribosomal RNA". The record is from RNAcentral. Lineage: Eukaryota; Viridiplantae; Streptophyta; Magnoliopsida; Poales; Poaceae.